UACGUAGGAUGCAAGCGUUGUCCGGAAUUACUGGGCGUAAAGCGCACGUAGGCGGCUUUGUAAGUUAGAGGUGAAAGCCCGGGGCUCAACCCCGGAAUUGCCUUUAAGACUGCAUCGCUAGAAUUGUGGAGAGGUAAGUGGAAUCCGAGUGUAGAGGUGAAAUUCGUAGAUAUUCGGAAGAACACCAGUGGCGAAGGCGACUUACUGGACACAUAUUGACGCUGAGGUGGCGAAAGCGUGGGGAGCAA
RNAcentral lists this ribosomal RNA (248 nucleotides) under uncultured bacterium. RNAcentral's name for it is "partial 16S ribosomal RNA". It matches the Rfam family "Bacterial small subunit ribosomal RNA", at positions 524 to 771 of the family's 1533-position model. The record is from RNAcentral.